UACGUAGGGUGCAAGCGUUGUCCGGAAUCAUUGGGCGUAAAGCGCGCGUAGGUGGCCAUUUAAGUCCGCUGUGAAAGUCAAAGGCUCAACCUUUGAAAGCCGGUGGAUACUGGAUGGCUAGAGUACGGAAGAGGCGAGUGGAAUUCCUGGUGUAGCGGUGGAAUGCGCAGAUAUCAGGAGGAACACCAAUAGCGAAGGCAGCUCGCUGGGACGUUACUGACGCUGAUGCACGAAAGCUAGGGGAGCAAACAGG
This 253-nucleotide ribosomal RNA is filed under the name uncultured bacterium. RNAcentral's name for it is "partial 16S ribosomal RNA". It matches the Rfam family "Bacterial small subunit ribosomal RNA", at positions 524 to 776 of the family's 1533-position model. The record is from RNAcentral.